AUGAGCCUAGGUCGGAUUAGCUAGUUGGUGGGGUAAUGGCUCACCAAGGCGACGAUCCGUAACUGGUCUGAGAGGAUGAUCAGUCACACUGGAACUGAGACACGGUCCAGACUCCUACGGGAGGCAGCAGUGGGGAAUAUUGGACAAUGGGCGAAAGCCUGAUCCAGCCAUGCCGCGUGUGUGAAGAAGGUCUUCGGAUUGUAAAGCACUUUAAGUUGGGAGGAAGGGUUGUAGAUUAAUACUCUGCAAUUUUGACGUUACCGACAGAAUAAGCACCGGCUAACUCUGUGCCAGCAGCCGCGGUAAUACAGAGGGUGCAAGCGUUAAUCGGAAUUACUGGGCGUAAAGCGCGCGUAGGUGGUUAGUUAAGUUGGAUGUGAAAUCCCCGGGCUCAACCUGGGAACUGCAUUCAAAACUGACUGACUAGAGUAUGGUAGAGGGUGGUGGAAUUUCCUGUGUAGCGGUGAAAUGCGUAGAUAUAGGAAGGAACACCAGUGGCGAAGGCGACCACCUGGACUGAUACUGACACUG
This 531-nucleotide ribosomal RNA is filed under the name Pseudomonas sp. R-35725. RNAcentral describes it as "bacterial SSU rRNA". It matches the Rfam family "Bacterial small subunit ribosomal RNA", at positions 225 to 748 of the family's 1533-position model. Lineage: Bacteria; Pseudomonadati; Pseudomonadota; Gammaproteobacteria; Pseudomonadales; Pseudomonadaceae. The record is from RNAcentral.